CUGGUGAGUAACACGUGAGUAACCUGCCCUUGACUUUGGGAUAACUUCAGGAAACUGGGGCUAAUACCGGAUAGGAGCUCCUGCUGCAUGGUGGGGGUUGGAAAGUUUCGGCGGUUGGGGAUGGACUCGCGGCUUAUCAGCUUGUUGGUGGGGUAGUGGCUUACCAAGGCUUUGACGGGUAGCCGGCCUGAGAGGGUGACCGGCCACAUUGGGACUGAGAUACGGCCCAG
Molecule: ribosomal RNA, 230 nt
Filed under: uncultured Actinomycetales bacterium
Lineage: Bacteria; Bacillati; Actinomycetota; Actinomycetes; Actinomycetales
Description: partial 16S ribosomal RNA
Rfam family: Bacterial small subunit ribosomal RNA
Source: RNAcentral